Molecule: ribosomal RNA, 423 nt
Filed under: uncultured Gemmatimonadota bacterium
Lineage: Bacteria; Pseudomonadati; Gemmatimonadota
Description: bacterial SSU rRNA
Rfam family: Bacterial small subunit ribosomal RNA
Source: RNAcentral
AUUGUCUUAUGGGAGGCAGCAGUGGGGAAUCUUGCGCAAUGGCCGAAAGCCUGACGCAGCGACGCCGCGGGGGGGAUGACGGCCUUCGGGUUGUAAACCCCUGUUNCCCGGGACGAACAUCGUCUUUCGAGUGGACUGACGGUACCGGGUGAGGAAGCACCGGCUAACUCUGUGCCAGCAGCCGCGGUAAUACAGAGGGUGCGAGCGUUGUCCGGAAUCACUGGGCGUAAAGGGCGCGUAGGUGGUGCUGUGAGCUCGCGGUGAAAGCUCGAGGGUCAACCUCGAGUCGGCCGUGCGAACUGGUCGACUCGAGCAGAGUAGGGGCAGGUGGAAUUCCGGGUGUAGCGGUGGAAUGCGGAUAGAUCAGGAAGCACACCGGUCUGCGAAGGCGGGCUCCCGGGCUGUGGCGGGGGGCGCCGGGGG